Molecule: small nuclear RNA, 107 nt
Filed under: Ochotona princeps (American pika)
Lineage: Eukaryota; Metazoa; Chordata; Mammalia; Lagomorpha; Ochotonidae
Source: RNAcentral
GUGCUCAAUUUCAUAGCAAAUAUACCAAAAUUGAAACAAUACAGAGAAGAUUAGCAUGGCCCCUUCAUGAGCAUGGCAUGUAAAUUUGUGAAGCAAUGGCAUGGUCC